RNAcentral lists this non-coding RNA (68 nucleotides) under unclassified sequences. RNAcentral's name for it is "DUF3800-II RNA". It matches the Rfam family "DUF3800-II RNA". The record is from Rfam by way of RNAcentral.
AUAACAAGUUACCAGUGACAAAUUCCCAGGUUGGGAAAAGCUUUAAAAAGCUAACUGAUUAACUGACC